This 427-nucleotide ribosomal RNA is filed under the name uncultured bacterium. RNAcentral describes it as "partial 16S ribosomal RNA". It matches the Rfam family "Bacterial small subunit ribosomal RNA", at positions 355 to 774 of the family's 1533-position model. The record is from RNAcentral.
UGGGGAAUAUUGCACAAUGGGCGCAAGCCUGAUGCAGCCAUGCCGCGUGUAUGAAGAAGGCCUUCGGGUUGUAAAGUACUUUCAGCGAGGAGGAAGGCGGUGAGGGUAAUAACCUCAUCGAUUGACGUUACUCGCAGAAGAAGCACCGGCUAACUCCGUGCCAGCAGCCGCGGGAAUACGGAGGGUGCAAGCGGUAAUCGGAAUUACUGGGCGUAAAGCGCACGCAGGCGGUCUGUCAAGUCGGAUGUGAAAUCCCCGGGCUCAACCUGGGAACUGCAUUCGAAACUGGCAGGCUAGAGUCUUGUAGAGGGGGGUAGAAUUCCAGGUGUAGCGGUGAAAUGCGUAGAGAUCUGGAGGAAUACCGGUGGCGAAGGCGGCCCCCUGGACAAAGACUGACGCUCAGGUGCGAAAGCGUGGGGAGCAAACA